This 468-nucleotide ribosomal RNA is filed under the name uncultured bacterium. RNAcentral's name for it is "partial 16S ribosomal RNA". It matches the Rfam family "Bacterial small subunit ribosomal RNA", at positions 28 to 507 of the family's 1533-position model. The record is from RNAcentral.
GACGAACGCUGGCGGCGUGCUUAACACAUGCAAGUCGAACGGAAAGGCCCUGCUUUUGUGGGGUGCUCGAGUGGCGAACGGGUGAGUAACACGUUAGUAACCUGCCCUUUACUUUGGGAUAACUUCAGGAAACUGGGGCUAAUACCGGAUAGGAGCUCCUGCUGCAUGGUGGGGGUUGGAAAGUUUCGGCGGUUGGGGAUGGACUCGCGGCUUAUCAGCUUGUUGGUGGGGUAGUGGCUUACCAAGGCUUUGACGGGUAGCCGGCCUGAGAGGGUGACCGGCCACAUUGGGACUGAGAGACGGCCCAGACUCCUACGGGAGGCAGCAGUGGGGAAUAUUGCACAAUGGGCGGAAGCCUGAUGCAGCAACGCCGCGUGCGGGAUGACGGCCUUCGGGUUGUAAACCGCUUUCGCCUGUGACGAAGCGUGAGUGACGGUAAUGGGUAAAGAAGCACCGGCUAACUACGUG